GCGGCAACGGGUGACUGGCGACACCGCGGACCAAUCGCACUGGCCUCCGGAGUGCCGCCCGCGCUCACCUGCGGGGGCGGGGCUGCGUCCGCCAUUUUGGGUCUCGCCCGCCCAUCCCACAGCCCCUCGGGCGGUGCCGCUCCCUGCGGCGCAUCCGGCGGGAAGACGGUCUGUCAUGCUCGCCCGGUGCACGAGGAGCAGCUCUGCGUGCUCCACCCCUGCUUCGCCGGUGUGGGGUGACCGGGCCGAGGAGCUGGGGCUUGGCCGCCGUGCAGGCAGCGAAACCAUAGGGGUGAAACUGUUGUCCAGCGACAGCGCGGGUUCCCUCUGUUCUCGGUGCUGGUGAGGGGCACCUCGAGUACUGUGUCCACUUUGGGGCCCCUCACUACAGGAAAGACAUUGAGGUGCUGGAGAGGGUCCAGAGAAGGGCAGUGAAGCUGGGGAAAGGUCUAGAGACAGGAAGGGGAAGAGAGAGAAAGAGCACAGAGUGCAGUUUUUCGAGAGCCUUGGUGGGGGCACUGAACUGGGGAGUACCAUUCCUAAACUACAACACCUGAGGAGAGCCUGAAGCUUUGAGAUGGCACAUUGGGAAGCCUAAGCCAACUGUUCUGCUGCAUGCAUGCCUGAAUUGAUUACAUUGUUCUGUGGAGCUCAGAGACUCUCCCUCCUGUUGGUCUGUCCCUGUGUGAAACAGGAAUUCACAGUACUAGAAUGAGUCAGAAGUGAAAGCCAGAGCCGCUCCCCCGAGCUUGGACAUCAAUUUGGAAACACCUAGAUCCCACUCUCAGUCCAAAUGGUUUGUGAGGGCAAGUGUUCCAGCUAAGAUCUUGCAGUUGGACACUUUGCCUUUGCUUGGAUCACUGGCAGCUCUCAUGUCAGGCUCAGAUCUUCAGGGCUAUUUUCAUGAGAUGAAAGAAAUCUUAAUUAAGUGUUCAUAUCUUUGUCAGCCAGACUCAGAAUAAAAAUUGAUGCGAUUCCCUUGA
Lepidothrix coronata (blue-crowned manakin) is the source of this 983-nucleotide long non-coding RNA. RefSeq lists it as uncharacterized. NCBI's taxonomy places the organism in Eukaryota, Metazoa, Chordata, Aves, Passeriformes, Pipridae. The record is from RefSeq and is a predicted model, not a curated record. The transcript is spliced from 3 exons.